UACGGAGGGAGCUAGCGUUGUUCGGAAUUACUGGGCGUAAAGCGCACGUAGGCGGUUUUUUAAGUCAGAGGUGAAAGCCUGGAGCUCAACUCCAGAACUGCCUUUGAAACUGGAAAACUUGAAUCUUGGAGAGGUCAGUGGAAUUCCGAGUGUAGAGGUGAAAUUCGUAGAUAUUCGGAAGAACACCAGUGGCGAAGGCGACUGACUGGACAAGUAUUGACGCUGAAGAGCGAAAGCGUGGGGAGCAAACAGG
RNAcentral lists this ribosomal RNA (253 nucleotides) under uncultured bacterium. RNAcentral describes it as "partial 16S ribosomal RNA". It matches the Rfam family "Bacterial small subunit ribosomal RNA", at positions 524 to 776 of the family's 1533-position model. The record is from RNAcentral.